Molecule: unclassified non-coding RNA, 262 nt
Filed under: uncultured fungus
Lineage: Eukaryota; Fungi
Description: partial contains small subunit ribosomal RNA, internal transcribed spacer 1, and 5.8S ribosomal RNA
Rfam family: Eukaryotic small subunit ribosomal RNA (bases 1-73)
Source: RNAcentral
ACAAACUUGGUCAUUUAGAGGAAGUAAAAGUCGUAACAAGGUUUCCGUAGGUGAACCUGCGGAAGGAUCAUUAGAGAAAGUAAGAUGAUAGUUGGGGGAGCUGUUCACCCGGCGGUGAAGCAGCAGGUCUGUAAUAAUUGAGACUGUAAAUCAUUUAUUAUUAUUCAUUUACAAUUUACGAGUUACCAUUCCUAUUAACUAACAUACAUGAGCACCUCGUCGCAAUGGAUCUCUCGGCUCUUGCAUCGAUGAAGAACGCAGC